RNAcentral lists this ribosomal RNA (508 nucleotides) under uncultured bacterium. Its description in RNAcentral is "bacterial SSU rRNA". It matches the Rfam family "Bacterial small subunit ribosomal RNA", at positions 9 to 522 of the family's 1533-position model. The record is from RNAcentral.
GGCGAGUUUGAUCAUGGCUCAGGACGAACGCUGGCGGCGUGCUUAACACAUGCAAGUCGAGCGGUAAGGCCCUUCGGGGUACACGAGCGGCGAACGGGUGAGUAACACGUGAGCAAUCUGCCCUUCACAUCGGGAUAACCCCCGGAAACGGGAGCUAAUACCGGAUACGACCACUUCAGGCAUCUGAUGGUGGUGGAAAGUUCCGGCGGUGAAGGAUGAGCUCGCGGCCUAUCAGCUUGUUGGUGGGGUAAUGGCUCACCAAGGCGUCGACGGGUAGCCGGCCUGAGAGGGUGACCGGCCACACUGGGACUGAGACACGGCCCAGACUCCUACGGGAGGCAGCAGUGGGGAAUAUUGCACAAUGGGCGAAAGCCUGAUGCAGCAACGCCGCGUGAGGGAUGACGGCCUUCGGGUUGUAAACCUCUUUUAGUAAGGAAGAAGGGGAGCUUGCUCCUUGACGGUACUUGCAGAAAAAGGACCGGCUAACUACGUGCCAGCAGCCGCGGAA